AGCGUACACGGUGGAUGCCCUGGCAGUCAGAGGCGAUGAAGGACGUGCUAAUCUGCGAUAAGCGUCGGUAAGGUGAUAUGAACCGUUAUAACCGGCGAUUUCCGAAUGGGGAAACCCAGUGUGAUUCGUCACACUAUCAUUAACUGAAUCCAUAGGUUAAUGAGGCGAACCGGGGGAACUGAAACAUCUAAGUACCCCGAGGAAAAGAAAUCAACCGAGAUUCCCCCAGUAGCGGCGAGCGAACGGGGAGCAGCCCAGAGCCUGAAUCAGUGUGUGUGUUAGUGGAAGCGUCUGGAAAGGCGCGCGAUACAGGGUGACAGCCCCGUACACAAAAAUGCACAUGCUGUGAGCUCGAUGAGUAGGGCGGGACACGUGGUAUCCUGUCUGAAUAUGGGGGGACCAUCCUCCAAGGCUAAAUACUCCUGACUGACCGAUAGUGAACCAGUACCGUGAGGGAAAGGCGAAAAGAACCCCGGCGAGGGGAGUGAAAAAGAACCUGAAACCGUGUACGUACAAGCAGUGGGAGCACAGAGCAAUCUGUGUGACUGCGUACCUUUUGUAUAAUGGGUCAGCGACUUAUAUUCUGUAGCAAGGUUAACCGAAUAGGGGAGCCGAAGGGAAACCGAGUCUUAACUGGGCGUUAAGUUGCAGGGUAUAGACCCGAAACCCGGUGAUCUAGCCAUGGGCAGGUUGAAGGUUGGGUAACACUAACUGGAGGACCGAACCGACUAAUGUUGAAAAAUUAGCGGAUGACUUGUGGCUGGGGGUGAAAGGCCAAUCAAACCGGGAGAUAGCUGGUUCUCCCCGAAAGCUAUUUAGGUAGCGCCUCGUGAAUUCAUCUCCGGGGGUAGAGCACUGUUUCGGCAAGGGGGUCAUCCCGACUUACCAACCCGAUGCAAACUGCGAAUACCGGAGAAUGUUAUCACGGGAGACACACGGCGGGUGCUAACGUCCGUCGUGAAGAGGGAAACAACCCAGACCGCCAGCUAAGGUCCCAAAGUCAUGGUUAAGUGGGAAACGAUGUGGGAAGGCCCAGACAGCCAGGAUGUUGGCUUAGAAGCAGCCAUCAUUUAAAGAAAGCGUAAUAGCUCACUGGUCGAGUCGGCCUGCGCGGAAGAUGUAACGGGGCUAAACCAUGCACCGAAGCUGCGGCAGCGACGCUGAUGCGUUGUUGGGUAGGGGAGCGUUCUGUAAGCCUGCGAAGGUGUGCUGUGAGGCAUGCUGGAGGUAUCAGAAGUGCGAAUGCUGACAUAAGUAACGAUAAAGCGGGUGAAAAGCCCGCUCGCCGGAAGACCAAGGGUUCCUGUCCAACGUUAAUCGGGGCAGGGUGAGUCGACCCCUAAGGCGAGGCCGAAAGGCGUAGUCGAUGGGAAACAGGUUAAUAUUCCUGUACUUGGUGUUACUGCGAAGGGGGGACGGAGAAGGCUAUGUUGGCCGGGCGACGGUUGUCCCGGUUUAAGCGUGUAGGCUGGUUUUCCAGGCAAAUCCGGAAAAUCAAGGCUGAGGCGUGAUGACGAGGCACUACGGUGCUGAAGCAACAAAUGCCCUGCUUCCAGGAAAAGCCUCUAAGCAUCAGGUAACAUCAAAUCGUACCCCAAACCGACACAGGUGGUCAGGUAGAGAAUACCAAGGCGCUUGAGAGAACUCGGGUGAAGGAACUAGGCAAAAUGGUGCCGUAACUUCGGGAGAAGGCACGCUGAUAUGUAGGUGAAGUCCCUCGCGGAUGGAGCUGAAAUCAGUCGAAGAUACCAGCUGGCUGCAACUGUUUAUUAAAAACACAGCACUGUGCAAACACGAAAGUGGACGUAUACGGUGUGACGCCUGCCCGGUGCCGGAAGGUUAAUUGAUGGGGUUAGCGCAAGCGAAGCUCUUGAUCGAAGCCCCGGUAAACGGCGGCCGUAACUAUAACGGUCCUAAGGUAGCGAAAUUCCUUGUCGGGUAAGUUCCGACCUGCACGAAUGGCGUAAUGAUGGCCAGGCUGUCUCCACCCGAGACUCAGUGAAAUUGAACUCGCUGUGAAGAUGCAGUGUACCCGCGGCAAGACGGAAAGACCCCGUGAACCUUUACUAUAGCUUGACACUGAACAUUGAGCCUUGAUGUGUAGGAUAGGUGGGAGGCUUUGAAGUGUGGACGCCAGUCUGCAUGGAGCCGACCUUGAAAUACCACCCUUUAAUGUUUGAUGUUCUAACGUUGACCCGUAAUCCGGGUUGCGGACAGUGUCUGGUGGGUAGUUUGACUGGGGCGGUCUCCUCCUAAAGAGUAACGGAGGAGCACGAAGGUUGGCUAAUCCUGGUCGGACAUCAGGAGGUUAGUGCAAUGGCAUAAGCCAGCUUGACUGCGAGCGUGACGGCGCGAGCAGGUGCGAAAGCAGGUCAUAGUGAUCCGGUGGUUCUGAAUGGAAGGGCCAUCGCUCAACGGAUAAAAGGUACUCCGGGGAUAACAGGCUGAUACCGCCCAAGAGUUCAUAUCGACGGCGGUGUUUGGCACCUCGAUGUCGGCUCAUCACAUCCUGGGGCUGAAGUAGGUCCCAAGGGUAUGGCUGUUCGCCAUUUAAAGUGGUACGCGAGCUGGGUUUAGAACGUCGUGAGACAGUUCGGUCCCUAUCUGCCGUGGGCGCUGGAGAACUGAGGGGGGCUGCUCCUAGUACGAGAGGACCGGAGUGGACGCAUCACUGGUGUUCGGGUUGUCAUGCCAAUGGCACUGCCCGGUAGCUAAAUGCGGAAGAGAUAAGUGCUGAAAGCAUCUAAGCACGAAACUUGCCCCGAGAUGAGUUCUCCCUGACUCCUUGA
RNAcentral lists this ribosomal RNA (2789 nucleotides) under Escherichia coli. Its description in RNAcentral is "bacterial LSU rRNA". It matches the Rfam family "Bacterial large subunit ribosomal RNA". Lineage: Bacteria; Pseudomonadati; Pseudomonadota; Gammaproteobacteria; Enterobacterales; Enterobacteriaceae. The record is from RNAcentral.